AGAGUUUGAUCCUGGCUCAGGAUGAACGCUGGCGGCGUGCCUAACACAUGCAAGUCGAGCGAUCUCUUCGGAGAGAGCGGCGGACGGGUGAGUAACGCGUGGGUAACCUGCCCUGUACACACGGAUAACAUACCGAAAGGUAUGCUAAUACGAGAUAAUAUAUAAGAGUCGCAUGACUUUUAUAUCAAAGAUUUUUCGGUACAGGAUGGACCCGCGUCUGAUUAGCUUGUUGGCGGGGUAACGGCCCACCAAGGCGACGAUCAGUAGCCGACCUGAGAGGGUGAUCGGCCACAUUGGAACUGAGACACGGUCCAAACUCCUACGGGAGGCAGCAGUGGGGAAUAUUGCACAAUGGGCGCAAGCCUGAUGCAGCAACGCCGCGUGAGCGAUGAAGGCCUUCGGGUCGUAAAGCUCUGUCCUCAAGGAAGAUAAUGACGGUACUUGAGGAGGAAGCCCCGGCUAACUACGUGCCAGCAGCCGCGGUAAUACGUAGGGGGCUAGCGUUAUCCGGAUUUACUGGGCGUAAAGGGUGCGUAGGCGGUCUUUCAAGUCAGGAGUUAAAGGCUACGGCUCAACCGUAGUAAGCUCCUGAUACUGUCUGACUUGAGUGCAGGAGAGGAAAGCGGAAUUCCCAGUGUAGCGGUGAAAUGCGUAGAUAUUGGGAGGAACACCAGUAGCGAAGGCGGCUUUCUGGACUGUAACUGACGCUGAGGCACGAAAGCGUGGGGAGCAAACAGGAUUAGAUACCCUGGUAGUCCACGCUGUAAACGAUGAGUACUAGGUGUCGGAGGUUACCCCCUUCGGUGCCGCAGCUAACGCA
Molecule: ribosomal RNA, 820 nt
Filed under: uncultured bacterium
Lineage: Bacteria
Description: bacterial SSU rRNA
Rfam family: Bacterial small subunit ribosomal RNA
Source: RNAcentral